GAUGAACGCUGGCGGCGUGCCUAAUACAUGCAAGUCGAGCGAACGGACGAGAAGCUUGCUUCUCUGAUGUUAGCGGCGGACGGGUGAGUAACACGUGGAUAACCUACCUAUAAGACUGGGAUAACUUCGGGAAACCGGAGCUAAUACCGGAUAAUAUUUUGAACCGCAUGGUUCAAAAGUGAAAGACGGUCUUGCUGUCACUUAUAGAUGGAUCCGCGCUGCAUUAGCUAGUUGGUAAGGUAACGGCUUACCAAGGCAACGAUGCAUAGCCGACCUGAGAGGGUGAUCGGCCACACUGGAACUGAGACACGGUCCAGACUCCUACGGGAGGCAGCAGUAGGGAAUCUUCCGCAAUGGGCGAAAGCCUGACGGAGCAACGCCGCGUGAGUGAUGAAGGUCUUCGGAUCGUAAAACUCUGUUAUUAGGGAAGAACAUAUGUGUAAGUAACUGUGCACAUCUUGACGGUACCUAAUCAGAAAGCCACGGCUAACUACGUGCCAGCAGCCGCGGUAAUACCUAAGUGGCAAGCGUUAUCCGGAAUUAUUGGGCGUAAAGCGCGCGUAGGCGGUUUUUUAAGUCUGAUGUGAAAGCCCACGGCUCAACCGUGGAGGGUCAUUGGAAACUGGAAAACUUGAGUGCAGAAGAGGAAAGUGGAAUUCCAUGUGUAGCGGUGAAAUGCGCAGAGAUAUGGAGGAACACCAGUGGCGAAGGCGACUUUCUGGUCUGUAACUGACGCUGAUGUGCGAAAGCGUGGGGAUCAAACAGGAUUAGAUACCCUGGUAGUCCACGCCGUAAACGAUGAGUGCUAAGUGUUAGGGGGUUUCCGCCCCUUAGUGCUGCAGCUAACGCAUUAAGCACUCCGCCUGGGGAGUACGACCGCAAGGUUGAAACUCAAAGGAAUUGACGGGGACCCGCACAAGCGGUGGAGCAUGUGGUUUAAUUCGAAGCAACGCGAAGAACCUUACCAAAUCUUGACAUCCUUUGACAACUCUAGAGAUAGAGCCUUCCCCUUCGGGGGACAAAGUGACAGGUGGUGCAUGGUUGUCGUCAGCUCGUGUCGUGAGAUGUUGGGUUAAGUCCCGCAACGAGCGCAACCCUUAAGCUUAGUUGCCAUCAUUAAGUUGGGUACUCUAAGUUGACUGCCGGUGACAAACCGGAGGAAGGUGGGGAUGACGUCAAAUCAUCAUGCCCCUUAUGAUUUGGGCUACACACGUGCUACAAUGGACAAUACAAAGGGCAGCGAAACCGCGAGGUCAAGCAAAUCCCAUAAAGUUGUUCUCAGUUCGGAUUGUAGUCUGCAACUCGACUACAUGAAGCUGGAAUCGCUAGUAAUCGUAGAUCAGCAUGCUACGGUGAAUACGUUCCCGGGUCU
This 1372-nucleotide ribosomal RNA is filed under the name uncultured bacterium. Its description in RNAcentral is "bacterial SSU rRNA". It matches the Rfam family "Bacterial small subunit ribosomal RNA", at positions 28 to 1381 of the family's 1533-position model. The record is from RNAcentral.